RNAcentral lists this small RNA (58 nucleotides) under Arabidopsis thaliana (thale cress). RNAcentral describes it as "ATSL186930". The record is from RNAcentral. Lineage: Eukaryota; Viridiplantae; Streptophyta; Magnoliopsida; Brassicales; Brassicaceae.
UCGGUUUGCAAACAAAGUGUUGGUUUUUUUAUCCUCUGUUUUUUUCUUUGGUCUAUAU